GUUCUACCUUCUCUCACCCAUACCCUUUACUGCUCGUCUCAACGCUUCUCCAAGCAAGAGCUGGAACAUGAGGCUUUCUACUAUGGCAUGGAGUCGAAGCUCUAAUGUGUGAUGUCUCCACCUCAAUCUGGCAUCAGUGCCUCCCUCGUUACCACUAGCCACCUGGCCUCUGAUAGCCUCCCCUCCACCUUCACUAUUGCAGCUAGAGAUGACUUCCCUCCACCCUAACUGUUGAUUUCUCCAAUGGUGAUGGAGUUACAUG
Molecule: unclassified non-coding RNA, 262 nt
Filed under: Hevea brasiliensis (rubber tree)
Lineage: Eukaryota; Viridiplantae; Streptophyta; Magnoliopsida; Malpighiales; Euphorbiaceae
Source: RNAcentral